RNAcentral lists this ribosomal RNA (301 nucleotides) under uncultured bacterium. Its description in RNAcentral is "partial 16S ribosomal RNA". It matches the Rfam family "Bacterial small subunit ribosomal RNA", at positions 509 to 807 of the family's 1533-position model. The record is from RNAcentral.
CAGUAGCCGCGGUAAAACGUAGGGUGCGAGCGUUAAUCGGAAUUACUGGGCGUAAAGCGUGCGCAGGCGGUUUGUUAAGACAGAUGUGAAAUCCCCGGGCUUAACCUGGGAACUGCAUUUGUGACUGGCCGGCUAGAGUAUGGCAGAGGGAGGUGGAAUUCCACGUGUAGCAGUGAAAUGCGUAGAUACGUGGAGGAACACCGAUGGCGAAGGCAGCCUCCUGGGCCAAUACUGACGCUCAUGCACGAAAGCGCGGGGAGCAAACAGGAUUAGAUACCCCAGUAGUCCCUGUCUCUUAUAC